This 177-nucleotide ribosomal RNA is filed under the name uncultured bacterium. RNAcentral's name for it is "partial 16S rRNA". It matches the Rfam family "Bacterial small subunit ribosomal RNA", at positions 338 to 522 of the family's 1533-position model. The record is from RNAcentral.
CCUAGGGGGGCGGCAGUAGGGAAUUUUGCGCAAUGGACGAAAGUCUGACGCAGCAACGCCGCGUGAGGGAUGAAGGUCUUCGGAUUGUAAACCUCUGUUGAAUGGGAAAAAAGGUAGCAAUAUUUGAUGGUACCAUUUGAGGAAGCACCGGCUAACUACGUGCCAGCAGCCCCGGUC